GCCCGAGUGAUGAAAUUGGUAGACAUGAACGACUCAAAAUCGUUUGGUUUAUACCAUGUCGGUUCGAGUCCGACCUCGGGUA
This 82-nucleotide transfer RNA is filed under the name Thomasclavelia ramosa DSM 1402. Its description in RNAcentral is "Clostridium ramosum DSM 1402 tRNA". It matches the Rfam family "tRNA". Rfam says of the family: Transfer RNA (tRNA) molecules are approximately 80 nucleotides in length. Their secondary structure includes four short double-helical elements and three loops (D, anti-codon, and T loops). The record is from Rfam by way of RNAcentral. Lineage: Bacteria; Bacillati; Bacillota; Erysipelotrichia; Erysipelotrichales; Coprobacillaceae.